GAUGAGCGCUGGCGGCGUGACUAAUACAUGCAAGUCGAGCGAACGGACGAGAAGCUUGUUUCUCUGAUGUUAGCGGCUGACGGGUGAGUAACACGUGGAUAACCGACCUAUAAGACUGGGAUAACUUCGUGAAACCGGAGCUAAUACCGGAUAAUAUUUUGAACCGCAUGGUUCAAAAGUGUAAGACCGUCUUGCUGUCUCUUAUAGAUGGAUCCUCGCUGCAUUAGCUAGUUGGUAAGGUAACGGCUUACCAAGGCAACGAUGCAUAGCCGACCUGAGAGGGUGAUCGGCCACACUGGAACUGAGACACGGUCCAGACUCCUACGGGAGGCAGCAGUAGGGAAUCUUCCGCAAUGGGCGAAAGCCUGACGGAGCAACGCCGCGUGAGUGAUGAAGGUCUUCGGAUCGUAAAACUCUGUUAUUAGGGAAGAACAUAUGUGUAAGUAACUGUGCACAUCUUGACGGUAACUAAUCAGAAAGCCACGGCUAACUACGUG
This 497-nucleotide ribosomal RNA is filed under the name uncultured bacterium. RNAcentral's name for it is "partial 16S ribosomal RNA". It matches the Rfam family "Bacterial small subunit ribosomal RNA", at positions 28 to 507 of the family's 1533-position model. The record is from RNAcentral.